RNAcentral lists this ribosomal RNA (301 nucleotides) under uncultured bacterium. Its description in RNAcentral is "partial 16S ribosomal RNA". It matches the Rfam family "Bacterial small subunit ribosomal RNA", at positions 509 to 807 of the family's 1533-position model. The record is from RNAcentral.
CAGUCGCCACGGGAAUACGUAGGGUGCAAGCGUUAAUCGGAAUUACUGGGCGUAAAGCGUGCGCAGGCGGUUUGUUAAGUCUGCUGUGAAAUCCCCGGGCUCAACCUGGGAAUGGCAGUGGAUACUGGCUCGCUAGAGUGUGUCAGAGGAUGGUGGAAUUCCCGGUGUAGCGGUGAAAUGCGUAGAGAUCGGGAGGAACAUCAGUAGCGAAGGCGGCCAUCUGGGACAACACUGACGCUGAGGCACGAAAGCGUGGGGAGCAAACAGGAUUAGAUACCCCUGUAGUCCCUGUCUCUUAUAC